This 800-nucleotide ribosomal RNA is filed under the name uncultured Funneliformis. RNAcentral's name for it is "SSU rRNA". It matches the Rfam family "Eukaryotic small subunit ribosomal RNA", at positions 314 to 1114 of the family's 1831-position model. Lineage: Eukaryota; Fungi; Glomeromycota; Glomeromycetes; Glomerales; Glomeraceae. The record is from RNAcentral.
AUCAACUUUCGAUGGUAGGAUAGAGGCCUACCACGGUGGUAACGGGUAACGGGGUGUUAGGGCACGACACCGGAGAGGGAGCCUGAGAAACGGCUACCACAUCCAAGGAAGGCAGCAGGCGCGCAAAUUACCCAAUCCCGACACGGGGAGGUAGUGACAAUAAAUAACAAUACAGGGUUCUUUUGGAUCUUGUAAUUGGAAUGAGUACAAUUUAAAUCUCUUAACGAGGAACAAUUGGAGGGCAAGUCUGGUGCCAGCAGCCGCGGUAAUUCCAGCUCCAAUAGCGUAUAUUAAAGUUGUUGCAGUUAAAAAGCUCGUAGUUGAAUUUCGGGAUCAAUGUUUCGGUCAUGCCGUUGGUAUGUACUGAUAUUAUUGGUUUCUCACCUUCUAAAGAACCGUAAUGCCAUUAAUUUGGUGUCACGGGGAAUUAGGACUGUUACCUUGAAAAAAUUAGAGUGUUUAAAGCAGGCUCACGCUUGAAUACAUUAGCAUGGAAUAAUGAAACAGGACAUCCGAUUCUAUUUUGUUGGUUUCUAGGAUCGAUGUAAUGAUUAAUAGGGAUAGUUGGGGGCAUUAGUAUUCAAUUGUCAGAGGUGAAAUUCUUGGAUUUAUUGAAGACUAACUACUGCGAAAGCAUUUGCCAAGGAUGUUUUCAUUAAUCAAGAACGAAAGUUAGGGGAUCGAAGACGAUCAGAUACCGUCGUAGUCUUAACCAUAAACUAUGCCGACUAGGGAUCGGAUGAUGUUAAUUUUUUAAUGACUCAUUCGGCGCCUUACGGGAAACCAAAGUGUUUGGGUUC